GAUGAACGCUGGCGGCGUGCCUAAUACAUGCAAGUCGAGCGAACGGACGAGAAGCUUGCUUUUCUGAUGUUAGCGGCGGACGGGUGAGUAACACGUGGAUAACCUACCUAUAAGACUGGGAUAACUUCGGGAAACCGGAGCUAAUACCGGAUAAUAUUUUGAACCGCAUGGUUCAAAAGUGAAAGACGGUCUUGCUGUCACUUAUAGAUGGAUCCGCGCUGCAUUAGCUAGUUGGUAAGGUAACGGCUUACCAAGGCAACGAUGCAUAGCCGACCUGAGAGGGUGGUCGGCAACACUGGAACUGAGACACGGUCAAGACUCCUACGGGAGGCAGCAGUAGGGAAUCUUCCGCAAUGGGCGAAAGACUGACGGAGCAACGCCGCGUGACUGAGGAAGGUCUUCGGAUCGUGAAACUCUGUUAUUAGGGAAGAACAUAUGUGUAAGUAACUGUGCACAUCUUGACGGUACCUAAUCAGAAAGCCACGGCUAACUACGUG
Molecule: ribosomal RNA, 497 nt
Filed under: uncultured bacterium
Lineage: Bacteria
Description: partial 16S ribosomal RNA
Rfam family: Bacterial small subunit ribosomal RNA
Source: RNAcentral